AGUGAACGCUGGCGGUAGGCCUAACACAUGCAAGUCGAACGGCAGCACAGUAAGAGCUUGCUCUUACGGGUGGCGAGUGGCGGACGGGUGAGGAAUACAUCGGAAUCUACUUUUUCGUGGGGGAUAACGUAGGGACACUUACGCUAAUACCGCAUACGACCUACGGGUGAAAGCAGGGGAUCUUCGGACCUUGCGCGAUUGAAUGAGCCGAUGUCGGAUUAGCUAGUUGGCGGGGUAAAGGCACACCAAGGCGACGAUCCGUAGCUGGUCUGAGAGGAUGAUCAGCCACACUGGAACUGAGACACGGUCCAGACUCCUACGGGAGGCAGCAGUGGGGAAUAUUGGGCAAUGGGCGCAAGCCUGAUCCAGCCAUACCGCGUGGGUGAAGAAGGCCUUCGGGUUGUAAAGCCCUUUUGUUGGGAAAGAAAAGCAGCAGGUUAAUACCCCGCUGUUCUGACGGUACCCAAAGAAUAAGCACCGGCUAACUUCGUG
Molecule: ribosomal RNA, 492 nt
Filed under: uncultured bacterium
Lineage: Bacteria
Description: partial 16S ribosomal RNA
Rfam family: Bacterial small subunit ribosomal RNA
Source: RNAcentral